Molecule: unclassified non-coding RNA, 229 nt
Filed under: plant metagenome
Description: partial contains small subunit ribosomal RNA, internal transcribed spacer 1, and 5.8S ribosomal RNA
Source: RNAcentral
UCUCCGUAGGUGAACCUGCGGAGGGAUCAUUACAGAGUUCAUGCCCUACCGGGUAGAUCUCCCACCCUAUGUUAUUAUUACUUUGUUGCUUUGGCGGGCCGUUAGGCUCCGGCCCGACUACCGGCCCCGGCUGGUAAGCGCCCGCCAGAGGACCCAAAACCCUGAAUAUUAGUGUCGUCUGAGUACUAUAAAAUAGUUAAAACUUUCAACAACGGAUCUCUUGGUUCUG